RNAcentral lists this non-coding RNA (73 nucleotides) under human gut metagenome. RNAcentral's name for it is "Cyclic di-GMP-I riboswitch". It matches the Rfam family "c-di-GMP-I riboswitch aptamer", at positions 11 to 83 of the family's 87-position model. Rfam says of the family: GEMM was predicted in a large-scale screen for bacterial structured RNA regulatory elements. The record is from RNAcentral.
GGCAAACUUAUCGAAAGGUAAGGACGCAAAGCUUUGGGUCUAAGGACAGAUCUGUCUAUGAGCGCCAGGUUGC